Molecule: ribosomal RNA, 253 nt
Filed under: uncultured bacterium
Lineage: Bacteria
Description: partial 16S ribosomal RNA
Rfam family: Bacterial small subunit ribosomal RNA
Source: RNAcentral
UACGUAGGGGGCAAGCGUUGUCCGGAUUUAUUGGGCGUAAAGCGCUCGCAGGUGGUUCGUCGCGUCGUGCGUGAAAGACCCCGGCUCAACUGGGGGAGGUCGUGCGAUACGGGCGGACUGGAGGCCAGUAGGGGGAUGCGGAAUUCCGGGUGUAGUGGUGGAAUGCGCAGAUAUCAGGAAGAACACCCGUGGCGAAGGCGGCUCUCUGGAACGCAACUGACGCUGAGACGCGAAAGCGUGGGGAGCAAACAGG